This 253-nucleotide ribosomal RNA is filed under the name uncultured bacterium. Its description in RNAcentral is "partial 16S ribosomal RNA". It matches the Rfam family "Bacterial small subunit ribosomal RNA", at positions 524 to 776 of the family's 1533-position model. The record is from RNAcentral.
UACGAAGGGGGCUAGCGUUGCUCGGAAUCACUGGGCGUAAAGGGUGCGUAGGCGGGUCUUUAAGUCAGGGUUGAAAUCCUGGAGCUCAACUCCAGAACUGCCUUUGAUACUGAAGAUCUUGAGUUCGGGAGAGGUGAGUGGAACUGCGAGUGUAGAGGUGAAAUUCGUAGAUAUUCGCAAGAACACCAGUGGCGAAGGCGGCUCACUGGCCCGAUACUGACGCUGAGGCACGAAAGCGUGGGGAGCAAACAGG